Long non-coding RNA from Phacochoerus africanus (Common warthog), 1503 nucleotides. RefSeq lists it as uncharacterized. The record is from RefSeq and is a predicted model, not a curated record. The transcript is spliced from 8 exons. Lineage: Eukaryota; Metazoa; Chordata; Mammalia; Artiodactyla; Suidae.
CUGGGUCAGGGAAGAGGCGAGAGAAAAGCACCCAGAGAAAGCCCCUUUGCCUUCCCCUGAAGACCAUCUGAGGCAGCGCUCCCCAUCAGUGGGAACUGAAACCUCUAGCCUCAGGGUUCCAGCUAUCACCCGGAUCAGGUCCACACGCAAAGAACCAAGCAGAAAGGAAAACUGAAAGUGAGAUGUGGCAAGGCGAUACGGCAGCCCGUCCUGUCCCAGGCUCAGUUCCUUAGAGAGAGAACGCGAGCCUGCACAGGAGGCAGGAAAGGUACUCUGCCUGACACCACUAAGACUCGUGGAAGCCAGACUCAGAGGCAGAUGCGUCCUGAGGAAGUCGGAUGGAGCAUCCUCGGGCUCAGCCUUGUCACCGGAUGAAAUCCCAGUCUCGGCGCUCUCCGUGUUCCAGGCCUGACCAUGAGGUCUCCUCAACAUCCUGCUUAUUCCUUCACGAAGACUUUCACUGAGACGGAUGUGGCUCCUGGAGAGUAUGCCCACGUGUGAUCUGGCGGCAGAGGACAGAGCACACAGCUCUCCCUCACUCGGCCCUGGAUACCUCGACCCUGCGAACAACCCUCAUGACAUGUUGUGAGCUUUUAUCAACAGAUCCCCAAGGAGUUUUCGCACAUGUGGCUACAUGCUACCUCCCCCCACUGUGUGCAAACCCUCCACUGUUCCUCCCAUGACGUCCCUUCGCUGAGGCCUCCUCGCGCUAUAAAACCCUAUUGUUUAGUACUGUGCUGCAUGUUACGUGUCGUGCGCAGCUGAGUUUUUCCUGAUCAAGCAGGAUUUUACAUGUAUUCAUAUUUGAUUCCAGAACCGCUUUCUGCGAGGGCACCCCUGGAGCUUCUGAGGCACAACCACAAAGCCCGCUGCGCGCUUCACUACCCUCCGCUGUCAAGGCUGACACUGCGUGAACAGCUGCUCCAUGCCAGGCUGUGCCCAAAAGCUUUCAUGCACCACCUCAUCUGCUCCCUGCGACAGCCCCGCCAGCUCUCAACGGGUCCCGAGCAUCUACCUGUGCUUUGGACAGAGACUCUCGCAAGCUCCACAGCAAGAAAGAGCUCAUCGUGAACUCGAAGGGGCAGUCUUCUGCUGCUGCCCUUGUGAAGACGGAGCUCCUCCUGGGCUUGUCGCCCUUCUCUGGGGAAGCUGACAUGCUCCAGGUUUCUAGGACUCUGGGCAGUCAUCUUGGAAAGGAGGAGAGGAAAGACGGUGCUGCCACUGACCUUGAUGCUGGAGCUCAGCUCUGUCAUGGAGACAGUGCCAAGAGCUGGGCUGGGCCAUUUGUUGAAGGAAGGGUUGAUGAUGCAGAGUCCGAACUAACAGUGAGAGCCUGGGGCUAAUGCCUGAUGGAAAAAGGUGGUAUAGGUUCUGCUCGUGCGAUAAGCGGCUCGGGAAGACUUGGAGGGUUUUAUGGAAUCAUUAGCACAGAGCUCCCCUCUGGCCACAGAGCAGAGGAAGGAACAGCAGACCAGUUUAUAAAGCUCCAGAGCGGAAAAUUUC